RNAcentral lists this ribosomal RNA (468 nucleotides) under uncultured bacterium. Its description in RNAcentral is "partial 16S ribosomal RNA". It matches the Rfam family "Bacterial small subunit ribosomal RNA", at positions 28 to 507 of the family's 1533-position model. The record is from RNAcentral.
GACGAACGCUGGCGGCGUGCUUAACACAUGCAAGUCGAACGGAAAGGCCCUGCUUUUGUGGGGUGCUCGAGUGGUGAACGGGUGAGUAACACGUGAGUAACCUGCCCUUGACUUUGGGAUAACUUCAGGAAACUGGGGCUAAUACCGGAUAGGAGCUCCUGCUGCAUGGUGGGGGUUGGAAAGUUUCGGCGGUUGGGGAUGGACUCGCGGCUUAUCAGCUUGUUGGUGGGGUAGUGGCUUACCAAGGCUUUGACGGGUAGCCGGCCUGAGCGGGUGACCGGCCACAGUGGGACUGGGAUACGGCCCAGACUCCUACGGGAGGCAGCAGUGGGGAAUAUUGCACAAUGGGCGGAGGCCUGAUGCAGCAACGCCGCGUGCGGGAUGACGGCCUUCGGGUUGUAAACCGCUUUCGCCUGUGACGAAGCGUGAGUGACGGUAAUGGGUAAAGAAGCACCGGCUAACUACGUG